Molecule: ribosomal RNA, 47 nt
Filed under: Lactococcus lactis
Lineage: Bacteria; Bacillati; Bacillota; Bacilli; Lactobacillales; Streptococcaceae
Description: partial 16S ribosomal RNA
Source: RNAcentral
UGAGCGCUGAAGGUUGGUACUUGUACCGACUGGAUGAGCAGCGAACG